Molecule: ribosomal RNA, 809 nt
Filed under: uncultured Acidobacteriaceae bacterium
Lineage: Bacteria; Pseudomonadati; Acidobacteriota; Terriglobia; Terriglobales; Acidobacteriaceae
Description: bacterial SSU rRNA
Rfam family: Bacterial small subunit ribosomal RNA
Source: RNAcentral
CAUGCAGUCGCACGAGAAAGUGGAGCAGUCCAUGAGUAAAGUGGCGCACGGGUGAGUAACACGUGAAUAAUCUACCUCCGAGUGGGGAAUAACUGAGAGAAAUCUUAGCUAAUACCGCAUAACACUUACGAGUCAAAGCAGCAAUGCGCUUGGAGAGGAGUUCGCGGCCGAUUAGUUAGUUGGUGGGGUAAUGGCCCACCAAGACGAUGAUCGGUAUCCGGCCUGAGAGGGCGCACGGACACACUGGAACUGAAACACGGUCCAGACUCCUACGGGAGGCAGCAGUGGGGAAUUUUGCGCAAUGGGGGAAACCCUGACGCAGCAACGCCGCGUGGAGGAUGAAGCCCCUUGGGGUGUAAACUCCUUUCGAUCGGGAAGAUAAUGACGGUACCGAUAUAAGAAGCCCCGGCUAACUUCGUGCCAGCAGCCGCGGUAAUACGAGGGGGGCAAGCGUUGUUCGGAAUUAUUGGGCGUAAAGGGUGCGUAGGCGGUUUGACAAGUCUGAUGUGAAAUCUAUGGGCUCAACCCAUAGUCUGCAUCGGAAACUGUCGGGCUUGAGUAUGGGAGAGGUGAGUGGAAUUUCCGGUGUAGCGGUGAAAUGCGUAGAUAUCGGAAGGAACACCUGUGGCGAAAGCGGCUCACUGGACCAUUACUGACGCUGAGGCACGAAAGCUAGGGGAGCAAACAGGAUUAGAUACCCUGGUAGUCCUAGCCCUAAACGAUGAUUGCUUGAUGUGGCAGGUACCCAAUCCUGCCGUGUCGAAGCUAACGCGAUAAGCAAUCCGCCUGGGGAGUACGGUCGCAAGGCU